This 72-nucleotide transfer RNA is filed under the name Rattus norvegicus (Norway rat). It matches the Rfam family "tRNA". Rfam says of the family: Transfer RNA (tRNA) molecules are approximately 80 nucleotides in length. Their secondary structure includes four short double-helical elements and three loops (D, anti-codon, and T loops). The record is from Rfam by way of RNAcentral. Lineage: Eukaryota; Metazoa; Chordata; Mammalia; Rodentia; Muridae.
GGGGAGAUGGCUCUGUCAGUAAAGUGUUUGCCUUGCAAGCAUAAGGUCCUGAGUUCAAUCCCAGUACCCACA